GACAGAGGGUGCAAACGUUGUUCGGAAUUACUGGGCGUAAAGCGCGUGUAGGCGGCUAUGUAAGUCGGGCGUGAAAUCCCACGGCUCAACCGUGGAAGUGCACCCGAAACUGCGUAGUUAGAGUCCUGGAGAGGAAGGUGGAAUGCUUGGUGUAGAGGUGAAAUUUCGUAGAUAUCAAGCGGAACACCGGUGGCGAAGGCGGCCUUCUGGACAGUGACUGACGCUGAGACGCGAAAGCGUGGGGAGCAAACAGGG
RNAcentral lists this ribosomal RNA (255 nucleotides) under uncultured bacterium. Its description in RNAcentral is "partial 16S ribosomal RNA". It matches the Rfam family "Bacterial small subunit ribosomal RNA", at positions 524 to 777 of the family's 1533-position model. The record is from RNAcentral.